AGGACGUACUUGAUCUUUUUCUUUGUUGUAUUGAGUCAAAUUUAUUAAAUAUAUGUAAUGUAAUUGUCAGGUGAGCCGGGACAGCCUUCUUCCUCCGCCCAGCCGCCACAGUAAUUUGUCGUCAAGUUUGCCACAGGAGGAUAUUUUGUUCUGGGUUAACCUGCUUUUCUACCUCGCAGGUUGUUUAUCAAUAUUUGUGUAAUUUUAAUUACUCCUAGAAUUUCCGCAUGUGUUAGCAGAAAUUAUUUGAUUAUGGUCUGUAAUAUUGUUAUCAUGUUGGACCUGUAAACUAAAUAUGCUAUGCAUGUUUGAUGGAUUGGAUGAGGGAGCUGAGCUCCCAUUUAUUUUA
Hevea brasiliensis (rubber tree) is the source of this 349-nucleotide long non-coding RNA. RefSeq lists it as uncharacterized. Lineage: Eukaryota; Viridiplantae; Streptophyta; Magnoliopsida; Malpighiales; Euphorbiaceae. The record is from RefSeq and is a predicted model, not a curated record. The transcript is spliced from 2 exons.